CAUGACCUGAGCUGAAGUCGGACACUUAACUGAGCCACCCAGGUGCCCCUCAAUUAAUUUCCUCUAAAAAAAACUUUUGGAGGCAGCCCCUGGAGUCUAGUUUUCUGAACGGUACCCAUCAGGUGGAGGUGUACUGAAUUGCUUUUUUGCAAAUGCUCUCCAGAACUAACGCUCAGUACUAACGCUAUUUUUGAGCUUUGCAUGGAUUUCGUUAUUUGAAUAUUGCUAUAACGCUGUGAGGUAGGUGCUAUUUCUUCCUUCUGUUUUACAGAUGAGGAAGCUGAAGUCCAAAGGGGUUAAGUAACCUGAUCAAGCAAAAAUGUGUAGGAAGGCAGAGAUUAGGAUUAGAAGUCAGGCAUCUGACUACAGAGCCCUACUGCAUUCUGUUUGCUUCUUAUGUAUGUCCCAUUGAAUUGUAACUGAUCUUUUCUGCCUCCUCACUGGUCUGUAUACUCCCUGAGGGGAGGGCCCUGGUAUUAUCCAUAUCUAUACCCACAGAUGUGCCUCCUUCUCUCACACCCCAUCCUGUUAUUCUCCCCAUUGGCUGACUUGGUUCCGUGAAGGAAGGCUGUGUUGGCAACGUCAGCUGACCUCACACUGGUGGCUCCAAGUCAGAACCCAAACAUUCUGUAGAGAGCAGAGUUUCUUAGUUUCUCAGAGAAAUAUAGGGCAGAAACUGCACUAUGGCUAAAUAUUUCCUUUUCUCCAUGUGAUAAAAGACUAACAGUUUUGGAGUGAUGGACAAGGUUCAGAGUUCUUUCGCCUUUCUAGUUUUGUUUUUAAUGGAAUGCCCACCUUUAUGCUUGCCUUAUGAAGGUGAGUUCAAACCAGUUGAACUAGCAACAGGCUUAAUGGGUAGCUUCAACCAUUGUUUUUACUUGUUUCAGGGGAAGUAAAAAGGGUUAAUCAUAUUUCACUGCUACGAGUUUUCUUUUCAAGGCUACAAUCAGUCACAAACAUCCACAAAUAUCACUAAGCAGGAAAGUGUUUCCUCAAGACUCAGAGGUAAGUAAUUGUAUUACUCAUUUGGUGAAAUGAGAACCAUAGACUGGGGUCCUCUCAUCUGCUGUAUGAAUGUGUCUUUUCUUGUGUAUUUGUUAGGAGCAUGGUCCAUACAAGAAUAUAAUUAGAUAAGCAUUGCUUGGAAAUUAAUCCAAUAUUAUUCUGUCUCUGGAAACUUGGAAAUUAAUCCGAUAUUAUUCUGUCUCUGGAAGCUGUGAUUUCUCUUUAGGGACUGCUUUGCUUCUCUUUUAUUUCACUUGGCACACACAGAAACCUUGACCAAAUCAGAGUGGUUUGAAUGUGUCUGUAUGACUUUAAUUGUAAUUGGGUACACGUUUGUCGGUAGACCAUACGAGUCCAGAUACAGAUGUUUUGUGAGUGUAAAAUAUUCUUUAUAAUCAUCUGUCUUCUAUGCUUUGCAUUUUGAGUCCUCAAGGGAACUUUGUUUAUCUCAAAACAGAGAAACUGACCCUGCCAAUCUGUGAAAUCAGGCAGCAACUCUUUGUGAAGAUAUGUGGUACUUAUAAACAAUCUCUAUUCUGUACAAGGGAAAUGCCAUCUGUACAGUAUAAAAGCAUCUAAUUUCUGUAGGAGGAAAGGGUAUUGCCGUGGCUCUCUGGCACUGGCUCUCUGACUUUCUGAUGACCGCCCAGACCCCUUCAACUCUGUGCUAAGUCUAUCAGGUCCUCAACCAGCUCACGUGACUGCAAAAACAGACCAGAAGCCAAAUGCAUUAUGUUCUUAACACCCCAUAUUCGUGGAUGCAAACAGAACACCAUGCUUUUCCAAAUUAAGCCACGUAUUUCUAUAAGGCAUUGUAAUAAAUGUAUUAACGACAUUUACCAUCUUAGCUUUUAGGUCCCCUUGUCUAAUACAAGUUAUUUCUUUAUUUUCCUAAAUCUAUCUUGAACUUGUCUCUUCUCUCUGACCCUUUGAACGACUUUGAGCUCUGAAACCUCCUAUGCCCACGCAAUUACCAGGCAAUAAUGGUAUGAUAAGACAUACAGACAUGGAAAUGAUUGUCAUGGAGGAAGAACAUUAUACUCACACACUCCUAGAAGCAAGAGGUGGGGGAGACAAGAGGGGAGAGCUUGGCCCAGAGUCUUUAUUGGUGUUUUCAUGGGAAGGAGUGGGUGAGGUAAUGGGAAGGGUGAUACACAUAACCCUAUAAAGACUAACGGGAGUCUAACAACCUAUGCAGCACCCCUGAACGCUGAUACCUGGAAUGCAGGUUGUCGGUGUGGAGUGGAGGAUAAGGCCAUAUGUUUUGAGCAGUGCAUUUCUGCGAGAGUAUUGUCACAGGACGGGACUUCCAAAGCAGAGUACAUGCAAACAUGGGAUGGACAGAGAGAGAGGCAGUGAGAAAAUCCUAA
Molecule: RNA transcript, 2375 nt
Organism: Leopardus geoffroyi (Geoffroy's cat)
Lineage: Eukaryota; Metazoa; Chordata; Mammalia; Carnivora; Felidae
Gene: CE2H19orf18
Gene name: chromosome E2 C19orf18 homolog
Exons: 5
Source: RefSeq, a predicted model, not a curated record